AUUCGGGACGUUUUGGCUAACGAUUUAACCCACCCCCAAAUUCCCACUUGUCCCAUAAUUCCACAUUUUACAUAACAAAUCAUUUCAUCUUCAGUCUUGUACAUUUCUCAACCAAUUCAAAUCCUUUCAUCAGCACUACUACUACUAUCUUAGUAGUAUCUUACUACUACUACUACUACUACCACUGUCUUACUACUACUACUGUCUUAGUACUACUAUCUUACUACUACUACUACUACUACUGUCUUAGUACAACUAUCUUACUACUACUACUACUACUAUCUUACUACUACUACUACUACUAUCUUACUACUACAACUACUACUACUACUAUCUUACUACUACUACUACUGUCUUACUAUCUUACUACUACUACUACUGUCUUACUACUACUACUACUACUGUCUUACUACUACUACUACUGUCUUACUAUCUUACUACUACUACUAUCUUACUACUACUACUACUACUGUCUUACUACUACUAUCUUACUACUACUACUACUACUGUCUUACUACUACUACUACUAUCUUACUAUCUUACUACUACUGUGUUACUAUCUUACUACUACUACUACUACUACUGUCUUACUACUACCACUGUCUUACUACUACCACUGUCUUACAGUACUACUACUAUCUUAUUACUUCUACUAUAGUAGUAAGAUAGUAGUAUACUAGUACUUCUACUAUCUUACUACUACUUCCACUCGAUUUCCCAGCCCAUAAAUUCCAGUUGAGCUUUUAUUCUUUCUGCUUUGCACGUUGAACUUGAGAAUUCUUACUAUUUCCACGUUUCUUAUUCAAAACAUCCCCAUUUAAAAAUGUGCUCAUUCCCAUACAGAAUUUCUUUCUUGGUAAUUCAGCUCAAAGUGUUUUACUGACGUGAAUAGCAUAAUUUAUAUUGGGAGAUCUCUAACAGUAGAUUUGGGAUUUUGGGCAAAAUAAUGUAGAAAAUGCACAUUUGACCUUUGGGUUGGUACACAUGGGCAGACUUAUGCAGGAUAUUGAUUGUUUAUUACAACGUAUUUUUGAAACCCAUUUUUUUGCAUCCUCAUUGCAAAUGUUCUGCUAUUUUUUAAACAAAAAAUGGUGUCUACAUCACUAGUUUAGGUGUUACAUCAGGUCAAUAAGUAUUUUGCACGUUAAGGUCUGAAUUCUUAUUAGAAAUGGAUGCAAGAUGCAGGAUGCAAUCUUUAAGGGGUGAGUACAUGAUAGAAACGCCAGACAAGACAAAUGCAAAUAUGUCUGUAGUAAUGAGCAGAAUGAAGGAAGGAAGGAAGGAAGGAAGGUGGUUCCAGCGUCCUUCCAAAGCCGCCUGGAUGCUUCCGGAUUGGGAAGUCUUGUCAAACCGUUUCCGCCGCCAUUGCGGAUUUUGGACACAAGCUCAUCAGCGGCCGUCCAUCGAUGCCGUGCAGCAAGCGAACACCCAAAACAGACACAUUAAGCAUCUUUACGGGUACGUCGCUUGGGUGGCACGUUUAGCAUCUCGUAUAUUUUGCCGUCCUCUAUAUUUGUUGUAUUUCCACGGACUGGAUCCGACCUACACGUAGCGCGAGGAGGUCGUAGUAGCUAGCUCUCCCGCUAGCUAGCACAACGGCUAACAUUUCUACAACGCUGGAGAAGCUCGAGGAAAACACCAUGUCCCAAAUCCUGCCCAUCCGCUUCCAGGAGCACCUACAGCUCCAGAACCUGGGUAUCAACCCAGCCAAUAUUGGAUUCAGCACUCUGACCAUGGAGUCCGACAAGUUCAUCUGCAUAAGAGAGAAGGUGGGUGAGCAGGCCCAGGUUGUCAUUAUUGACAUGGCCGAUCCAAACAACCCCAUUCGUAGGCCCAUCUCUGCAGACAGCGCCAUCAUGAACCCUGCCAGCAAAGUCAUCGCCCUUAAAGCGGCCAAGACCUUGCAGAUCUUCAACAUCGAGAUGAAGAGCAAGAUGAAGGCUCACACAAUGACAGACGACGUGACUUUCUGGAAGUGGAUCUCCCUCAACACAGUGGCCCUGGUCACAGAUAACGCCGUCUACCACUGGAGCAUGGAGGGCGACUCCCAGCCGAUCAAAGUCUUCGACCGACACUCCAGCCUGGCGGGUUGCCAGAUCAUCAACUACCGCACCGACGCCAAACAGAAGUGGUUGCUGCUCAUUGGCAUUUCAGCGCAGCAAAACCGUGUUGUUGGAGCAAUGCAGUUGUACUCGGUGGACAGGAAGGUUUCCCAGCCCAUCGAAGGUCACGCUGCUGGAUUUGCACAAUUCAAGAUGGAGGACAACACAGAGGAGUCUACUCUGUUCUGCUUUGCUGUGCGAGGACAGGCAGGCGGAAAACUGCAUAUAAUUGAAGUUGGCACUCCACCAACUGGGAACCAGCCAUUUCCAAAGAAAGCUGUAGACGUAUUUUUUCCUCCAGAAGCCCAGAAUGACUUCCCUGUUGCCAUGCAGAUCAGCUCCAAGCAGGAUGUAGUGUUUCUCAUCACCAAAUAUGGCUACAUCCACCUGUAUGACUUGGAAACAGGCACCUGCAUCUACAUGAACAGGAUCAGUGGGGAGACCAUUUUUGUCACUGCGCCCCAUGAGCCAACUGCCGGCAUCAUUGGCGUCAACAGGAAAGGACAGGUGUUGUCGGUGUGCGUGGAGGAGGAGAACAUUAUUCCAUACAUCACCAACGUGCUCCAGAACCCCGACUUGGCUCUCCGCAUGGCUGUCCGCAAUAACCUUGCCGGUGCCGAAGAGCUGUUUGCCCGCAAAUUUAACACCCUCUUUGCUGCAGGGAAUUACUCAGAUGCUGCCAAAGUGGCGGCCAAUGCACCCAAGGGUAUACUACGGACACCAGAUACCAUCCGCCGCUUUCAGAGCGUUCCUGCUCAACCGGGCCAGCGGUCACCGUUACUUCAGUACUUUGGUAUCUUACUGGAUCAAGGACAGCUAAACAAGUUUGAGUCUCUGGAGCUGUGCAGGCCAGUCCUGCAGCAGGGCCGUAAACAGCUGCUGGAGAAAUGGCUGAAAGAGGACAAGCUGGAGUGCUCAGAGGAGCUAGGGGACCUGGUGAAGUCGGUGGAUCCCACACUCGCCCUCAGUGUUUACCUGAGAGCCAAUGUCCCCAACAAAGUCAUUCAGUGCUUUGCAGAAACUGGCCAGUUCCAGAAGAUUGUACUUUAUGCCAAGAAGGUGGGUUACACUCCAGACUGGAUCUUCUUGUUAAGGAAUGUCAUGCGGAUCAGCCCAGAGCAAGGUCUUCAGUUCUCCCAGAUGCUGGUGCAGGAUGAAGAGCCUCUUGCUGACAUCACGCAGAUUGUAGAUGUCUUCAUGGAGUACAACCUGAUUCAGCAAUGCACAUCCUUCCUACUAGAUGCCCUGAAGAACAACAGACCGAUGGAAGGACCACUGCAGACACGUUUACUGGAAAUGAAUUUGGUCCAUGCACCCCAGGUUGCAGAUGCCAUUCUGGGCAACCAGAUGUUCACUCACUACGACCGUGCACAUGUGGCACAGCUGUGUGAGAAGGCUGGUCUCCUGCAGAGGGCGCUAGAGCAUUACACUGAUCUCUAUGACAUCAAGCGAGCUGUGGUCCACACGCAUCUCCUCAACCCAGAGUGGCUAGUCAAUUUCUUUGGCUCCUUGUCAGUAGAGGACUCUUUGGAGUGUCUUCAGGCCAUGUUGUCAGCUAACAUCCGCCAGAACCUGCAGAUUUGUGUUCAGGUUGCCUCCAAGUACCAUGAGCAGCUCACCACUCAGUCCCUCACUGAACUCUUUGAGUCGUUCAAGAGCUUUGAAGGUUUGUUCUACUUUUUGGGUUCCAUUGUGAACUUUAGCCAGGACCCAGAGGUUCACUUCAAAUACAUUCAGGCUGCUUGCAAGACGGGCCAAAUCAAAGAGGUGGAAAGAAUCUGCAGAGAAAGUAACUGCUACGACCCCGAGCGUGUGAAGAAUUUCCUCAAGGAAGCCAAGCUGACUGAUCAGUUGCCAUUGAUCAUCGUGUGUGACCGCUUUGAUUUUGUCCAUGAUCUGGUCCUGUACUUGUAUCGCAACAGCCUGCAGAAAUACAUUGAGAUCUAUGUGCAGAAGGUAAACCCAAGUCGUCUGCCGGUGGUUAUUGGAGGCUUGCUGGAUGUUGAUUGUGCAGAAGAUGUGAUCAAGAACCUGAUCAUGGUUGUGAGAGGACAGUUCUCCACAGACGAGUUAGUUGCUGAAGUGGAGAAGAGAAAUCGACUCAAGCUUCUGCUUCCUUGGUUGGAAGCCCGUAUUCAUGAAGGCUGUGAAGAGCCUGCCACCCAUAAUGCCUUGGCCAAGAUCUACAUAGACAGCAACAACAACCCUGAGCGCUUUUUGAGGGAGAACCCCUUUUACGACAGCCGUGUGGUGGGCAAGUACUGUGAGAAGAGAGACCCCCACCUGGCCUGCGUUGCAUAUGAAAGAGGACAGUGUGACCAGGAAUUGAUUAAUGUGUGCAAUGAAAACUCACUAUUUAAGAGUCUGUCACGCUACCUGGUGCGUCGGAAGAACCCUGAGCUGUGGGCUAGUGUGCUGCUAGAGACCAACAACUACAGAAGGCCACUCAUAGACCAGGUAGUCCAGACAGCCCUGACGGAGACCCAGGAUCCUGAGGAGGUAUCUGUCACAGUCAAGGCUUUCAUGACCGCUGACCUUCCUAAUGAGCUUAUCGAGCUUUUGGAGAAGAUUGUCCUGGAUAACUCUGUCUUCAGCGAGCAUAGAAACCUCCAAAACCUGCUCAUCCUGACAGCGAUCAAAGCUGAUCGGACCCGUGUCAUGGAGUACAUUAACCGUCUAGACAACUAUGAUGCCCCAGAUAUUGCAAACAUUGCAAUUAGCAAUGAGCUGUUUGAGGAGGCCUUUGCUAUUUUUAGGAAAUUUGAUGUCAACACCUCUGCUGUGCAGGUUCUGAUUGAGCACAUCGGCAACCUGGACAGAGCCUAUGAGUUUGCUGAGCGCUGCAAUGAGCCCCCAGUGUGGAGUCAGCUGGCAAAGGCCCAGCUCCAGAAGGGCCUGGUCAAAGAAGCUAUUGACUCCUACAUCAAGGCUGACGACCCCUCUGCUUACAUGGAGGUGGGACAAGCUGCGGCUCUGAGUGGCAACUGGGAAGACCUGGUGAAGUUUCUGCAGAUGGCCCGCAAAAAGGCCCGCGAGUCCUAUGUUGAAACUGAGCUAAUCUUUGCUCUGGCUAAGACCAACCGCCUUGCAGAGCUGGAAGAGUUUAUCAAUGGACCCAAUAAUGCUCACAUCCAGCAAGUGGGUGACAGGUGCUAUGACGACAAGAUGUAUGAGGCAGCCAAGCUGCUUUACAACAAUGUGUCCAAUUUUGGCCGCCUGGCCUCCACUCUUGUGCACCUGGGGGAGUACCAGGCAGCGGUGGACGGAGCUCGCAAGGCCAACAGCACACGUACCUGGAAGGAGGUCUGCUUUGCAUGCGUUGAUGGGAAAGAGUUCCGACUCAGCCAAAUGUGCGGACUGCAUAUUGUUGUCCACGCGGAUGAGCUGGAGGAACUCAUCAACUAUUACCAGGACCGUGGUUACUUUGAGGAGCUAAUCACCAUGCUGGAGGCCGCUUUGGGACUGGAGCGGGCUCACAUGGGCAUGUUCACAGAGCUAGCAAUCCUCUACUCUAAAUUCAAACCCCAGAAGAUGAGAGAGCACCUGGAGCUCUUCUGGUCCCGUGUUAACAUUCCAAAGGUUCUCAGGGCAGCUGAGCAGGCACACCUUUGGGCAGAGCUGGUCUUCCUCUAUGAUAAGUAUGAGGAGUAUGACAACGCCAUCAUCACCAUGAUGAACCAUCCUGCUGAUGCCUGGAAAGAGGGCCAGUUCAAAGACAUUGUCACCAAGGUGGCUAAUGUGGAGCUGUACUACAAAGCCAUCCAUUUUUAUCUGGAGUUCAAACCCUUGUUAUUAAAUGACCUGCUCAUCGUUCUCUCGCCACGACUGGACCACACACGCGCUGUCAACUUUUUCAGCAAGGUGAAGCAGGUGCCGCUGGUAAAACCAUACCUAAGGUCCGUGCAGAAUCACAACAACAAGUCUGUCAAUGAGGCUCUCAACAACCUCUUCAUUGUCGAGGAAGACUAUGCAGCACUGCGUACUUCCAUCGAUGCUUACGACAACUUUGACAACAUCUCGCUGGCCCAAGGCCUAGAGAAGCAUGACUUGAUCGAGUUCAGAAGGAUCGCGGCGUACCUUUUUAAGGGCAACAACCGCUGGAAACAGAGUGUGGAGCUCUGCAAGAAGGAUAAGCUCUACAAGGACGCCAUGCAGUAUGCAUCCGAGUCCAAAGACAUUGAACUGGCAGAGGAGCUGCUGGCUUGGUUCCUGGAGGAGGACAAGAAGGAGUGCUUCGCCGCCUGCCUGUUCACCUGCUACGACCUAUUGCGGCCCGACGUAGUGCUGGAGACCGCCUGGAGGCACAACAUCAUGGACUUUUCAAUGCCAUACUUCAUCCAGGUCAUGCGAGAGUACCUCAGUAAGGUCGAUGCGAUAAAGGAAAAGGUGAACGUUGAAUCAGUUUCCUAAUCGUCCUUACUGACUCCCCACCCUUUCCCUUUCCUGUAGUAGUUUGGAGUGGGACGUGUAAAGCUAGCAAAAACUGCAUGACCCCUCUCCCACUUGGUCACUAUGCUGCUUUCCAUGUAUGCAGUCUUUGCAUCUCCACUAGAUCACUUAACUAUUUCACCAUACGCCAGAGUGGGGCUCUCCACACCCAUGCUCACGGGGUUCACUGAGGAAGAAUUGGACAAACACCUUUUGGAGUAGAUUUCAUCUAUGUGGGACACAAGCCAUCAUAAUAAUGGCAAAUAGUGGCCUGCCAAUGAUAAAUGCCUUAUCCCAUACAUGCGUAAUACUUCCUGCAGUUGAGUAAAUUAACCACUGGCCACGACUAAAAGUAACGCCCUAUUUUAAAAUACUUAUACUUUUCACAAGCAAUGGAUAUGAGAGGAGACUAUUGUAUUUCAAAUUUCAUACGAACACCAGAAUUCGCUGGCAGAUUGUCAACCGGCCCAGGAAUCACCUCAACCAACUUCACCAGGAACUUUAAUCUUUAGACUGGUAUGGUAUUUCAAACUAGUAAAUCAUCAUUAAAAAAAAGAAUAGACUCAAUUGGCAUACAUUAAACACAAAAAUGUAAGAAAAAAAUCAUUUCUAAAUAAAAUGAUCGUUAUGGGUGGGAAGUAAUAAAAAAGGGAUUACCUUUCAAUCACCAUCUAUAUGGAGAAAUAUGGUAAAUCAGGAUGUUUCUAACUAUGUGGAUGAACAUGGAACAUACUCAUGCAGUACAUCCCUAUCAAUUAGAAUUUCACGAGUUCCAUUCACAUGUAUUCUAUAGAUUCAGUACACACAGAGUCUUUCUUCAUUUUGAUGAUGAUAAACCCCCAAAUGUGGUGUCUCAUAAAACAUGAAAGUUAGUCCAAAUAUAUAUAUAUAUAUAUAUAUAUAAAAAACUACUGGUUUGUACUCGAGUUAGCAGAAGAACUGCAAAAGCUUCCUGAGCCUUCAGUUACUCUGUUUGUCCUCAUGGAAGUCUGGGAUGUGUCAUUUAUUGAGCCGCUUACAUGUCCAUGUCCAUGUCCAUGUUCCAGCUGGCCGUCAUAAAAUCAGUUUAUGUGCAGCAAAGCUUCCAGCUCCUCUUUUCGGUGAGGAAGUGAAGAGCACCACUCUGGACUACUACUGUACCACGUCUGCAGUCUCACACACUUCCAGAUGUUCAACUCGUUGUUGUUAGGCCGCCAUGCUACAGUACUUGUUGGGCUCAGAAUAUUUCCUUCAGGUCAUUCGUGUGCUAUAAGAGAAGAUCAAAAACAAACAGCAGUUGCACACAUUUGUCAAAGGGAAUCAUGUUUGUUGAUGGAUAUCCUUCCCAACACAAUAGUCAAAUAACCUGUAGCUCAGGAAGCAGAGUUAGCAAAGACCAUGUGACCAUGAUUGUGGAUCAGCACGCAUGUGCUAGCAUCAUCAGCACCAGGCUAGGAGACGUCGUCGUUGGCUGUGCCUGCUUCUGGAAACAUUGAAGUGGCUGUACCACAGCAUCCUGUCUGCCCUUCCUCCACUCUCACUCCACUAAGGCACCGUGCUUUUCUCUUUUCUCUUUUUCACGCACUCGUCAAGACCAACGUAACUACAAAAAAAUGCUGCUUCGGCAUGUCUCUCAAGCCUUCUUUUCUAAAAAAACAAACAACAAUUCAACAGCUAUCGCAAUUACAUUGAUGGACCAGUCUGUAUGUAGAGAACCGAACCCAGUACCAGUACCAGUACCAGGACAGCAUUCAGCAGUCUUCCAACAGCAGAUUGUUUCUAACUGGUUUUGCUGGCUGCUUUUGCUGGUACUUUCCUGUUGCUAAUACGCUAGAGACCUAAAAUGCUUCAAAAGGAAACACAACUAAUAUGUUCUACAGCUAAACAAAGGUCACUUAGGUUAACCUCUGUUAGUUCUACGUAAAAUAAUAGCACUUGUUAGUAAUGACUUGCAAAGGUGUCACCUUGCAGAUGCAUCAGUCACACAAUUCAUCACAGCUUCCCACUGUGAUAGACCACCACAAUGUAUGCCACCAGACCAGGGGUCGGCAACCCACGGCUCUUCAGCCUCCUUGUAGGGAAGGGAGGUAGGCUCGUGUAUGCGAUGAGAAAAAAGUUGACCGAGUUUGGAGUUGAGUCUGAAGCAAGUAAAAUAAAAGUAUAGAAUUUACGAGAGCGUAGCCAUAUGUUUUGUAACAAGAAGCGCGCUGUAGCCACCGUAUGUGUUGGGAGCCCGUGACGCGCUCAUCGCCGAGGUGGGGACUCCAGUGUGUGCUGCGGGAACAAUACGUCGCUUUUGGGAAAAUAAAUAAAUCACCAAGAGGGUUUGGAAAGUCACCAGAUUUAGUUGGCAACACUGGGCUGCACAUGAGAUCCUAAGGGGGGGGACGCCGCUCACAGAAGGAGAAUAAGUAAAAGAAUCGCUCAUAAAAUAUCAGAGCAUCUAUUCUUCAAAUUAAAAAAACAAACCAGAAAUGAUUGAGAAAGUCAAAGGAUCCAGUCAAGGACAGGAUCAAUAGAAUGGUUAUUGAUUAUUGAGCAACAACACUCAUGCAAAAAUGUGAACUCUGAUGAGCUUUUUCAUGUUAAAGUUGGCUACAUUUUGUUUUCAUUUGAAACAAGCACUGAAAAAGGCAUGUGGAUGAUUUGAUCUGAAUCAGGUAACUUUUCUAGAAGAUUACAACUUUGACAAGUUUAUCAGCUGUGUCAUGUUUUGUGGCUCUUUUACUGGAAGAGGAGGCAAGAUGGUUGUGAUGCUAAAGGUCGACCCCUGCACCAAACACACAGAGCACAAUUAGAGCGGUUGGUUAGUUUUAUCAGCUGUUAACAUCCAACUAAAUAUGAUAGACAUGAAAGAAGGGAGCCAUCCGCACGGGAACCUUUAAGUAUAUUUGGAAAAUGGCUUCCAGAGUGGGAAAAUCUGAAAACAACAACAACGUCACGUCUGGUCACCCUCACGUGACCAGACGUGAGCUUAAUAUUUGAAUAUUUGGACAGACGCGACUCACCCCAGUGGACAUUCUCCUCUUCUCCUCAGUCUUGAUGUGUCUCGGAAAGCAUGCCUUCUUUCUUCUUCUAUGGUUUGGUGUGUCAUAUGGUUGUGCCCGCGUAUGUGCUGACAGCGCUACACGCAGGUGUGCUUGUUUAUUACAUGGUUUCACACAGUGAUCCCUUCCCUUGCUCACGCAGCACAGUGUCCAUGCAACUUUUUUUUCAACCCGCCUCACAAAAAAAUCCCAACAACAUUCCCGUGUGGACAGGACCUAAGGACCUAUUUUACACGCUAAAAAAAUGUCAGGCGGUGGGUCACAGCAUCAAAAAAUGUCUUUUUGGGGCAACGAGUGAGUAUCCUUAACUCAUGAAAGAAAUGCUGCGAUGAAAGAGCCAAUUAGCACCACGAGCCACAGGUGGUGUGUACUGGUGACAGGUUGGUUCUCUACAUACUACAUUAGAUACCUGGGGUGGCUGGAUGGGUGGGACCAUGAUUGCCACGUAGAUCUGUGUUUGUAUCUCCCCUCCACGUCCUCCACACCAGACAGUUUAUCCCCAUGAUGUUCAUGUCAGUAGCUGCCUUGUAGCGCUUUAGUAGUUUUAGCUGCUUAAUGGAGGACGUCCUGCAGCCCGUUUGCAUACUCGUCUCCUCCGCCUGUCAGGAAUGGUCCCAUCCUUCAGCCAGUCAAAUAACCCAGAGGUGGACAAACUGGAAGCAUCAGAGUCCCUAAGGAAACAGGAGGAGCAGGCCACCGAAUCUCAACCCAUUGUUUAUGAUCUCAAUUUCCGAUAGUGAUAUCCGCCGAUACAGGUAUGUGUAACAUGACAUUUCUCCUGUGGAAUGAACAGGAGUGGCUGCCUUUCAAGCUGCUCUGUGUGUUUACUCAAGCACGUUUUUACGUGCCGUGAGAGCGACGUCCCGCAUCUGUGUGAUGCCCUGUCUACACACUGAUAUCGAGGCGGCAGAACCGGGGCUAAGAAGAAAGCCAAGCGGCUAGCAAGGAAGUGGACAUUCAAGCCUUUGGUACCUUCUAUUAUCACGGGAAACGUGAAUUCACUAGCGAGCAAGAUGGACGAGCUGGCAAGAACGUCAAGACCUUCAAGGAGCACAGCUUAUUUGUGCUUCCCUGAAUGGCUAAGAGCUAGCAUCCCAGAUGUUAACGUGGAGCUAGCCGACUUCAGGACAGUCAGAGCGGACAGGAACACAAGAGCCUGAGGGAAGCUUAAAGGAGGUGGCCAUGUGAAUUUUAAGAUGUACAUCUAUUCGGAGUUCCCUCGUUUAACGCGGGGGUUAGGUUCUAAAAAAUACCAGUGUUAAGUGAAAUCUGUGUAAUAGAAGUUGAUUUUGUUUUUUUCGGUCAUUAUGUAUUUUUUAGUUUACAGUGCAUGUUUUUUUCAUUUACAGUAUAUGUUUUUUUGUUUAUUGUAUGUUUUAAGGCACCACACACUUUAUCCACAAUAUACAGUAUCUGUUGCGCACGAGGGCCUUGAAAGCACAGGUUACGCUUCUUGGUCCAUGGGCGGAAUCUGCGAUGUCUUGUUUCCAAAAUAAGCCUGUCUCAACCAUAUUAAAAACUUGUUCAGGCUUACAUCCUCCUUCCUCCAUGAUGGCUUCACAUUUGUUUAUGAAUAGCUCUGCCUUGGCAUCCACAGAGGCGGCCUCUCCGUGGUCUUGUUGCGGACAGUUAAAGCCCUUUUUGCAUCCUUUAUGGUUGAAGAUUCAUUUAUUCCGUAAUGCCGCCCUACAGCUGCGUAAGUUGUACCUUCCUUCAACAUGUCCAGAAUUCCAACUUUUUUUCGUACUUUAUAGCGAUCUAAUGUAUCUUAUUUAUGAUGUAUUGUGUAAAACUAAGACAUGAAUAACAUCAAAUUAAAAGCACAAAAUGAAUGCCGACCCACCAGUUCAAGUUCCAGCCAAGUGUUUCCAGAGAGAAGAUGACAUGGCUGUUUGACGUUUGUGGUAAAAGGCAGUGUGCUAGCAUGAAUUCACUUCAGACAAAUGUGCACAUUAGCACUCAAUAAGUCAUCCAAACUUACCUUCAUGCAUUCCCACAAAGUAUCAGCAUUUACACCAAAUAUGAGGUGAAAGAAAAAUGGUACAAAUACAGUAGUAGUCUAUUUGUGCAGCAUGAGAUAAAGUUAGCACACCCACAAUGGACAUGCGUCAAGUGAGACGGAUGUAACAGAGAAUCCGGCCACUUUUCAAAUUAAAACAUAACAAAAAUGAAAUAAUGUAAAUUAUUUUUUCUUUCUGUGCAGCCCGGUACCAGAUGACCCACGGCCUGGUACCGGGCCGCGGCCCUGGGGUUGGGGACCACUGCUGUACAGGACACAUGGCAUGGAGGAGAUUGAUUGAUGGCCACACUCCCUUAGCCAAUCGGGACGCAGGAGACAAUGCAGGUUCUCCCUUAGCGAAUCAGGACGCAGAACACAAAGUAUUCAUACGCUGUUAAAAAAAAAAAAAACAUGCUACACCGGGGGUCACCAAGGUUUUUGCUUGUGAGAGCUACUUUUACAAAAUGAAAAUGGCCGAGAGCUACUCAUUUUUGUAACAUUUAUUUUCAGAGCUUAUUUUAAACCCAAACAAAGCAAAUAUGCUUGUUUUACCAGAACAUGAACAAAAUGCUGGUGUCCACAACUCACAUGUUGUAUUUCAGAAUGCAUUUCUUUCUACUGUUCUUUCAUUAUGAACUGAAAACCUGAAUGAAAAGCAGGCUUGCGGGCACCUCAUGUGGUCGUGGGGGGCUACCUGGUGCCCGCGGGCACCACGUUGGUGACCCCUGUGCUACACUGUAAAAAAUUGCACACAAAAAAAAUCUGUAAUAGCCAGGCUGUGUAAAGUGAACCGCGUUAUAGCGAGGGAACACUGUAUGUAUGUGUGCGUAUAUACUGUAUGUAUGUAGUACAUAUACAGUAUACUGUAUGUUAGAUGAUGAUAGAUGAGAGGUUGUAUUACAUUACAUCAUAUUACAUUACGUAUAUUACAUUGUUAUGUUACCUUGACACUGCAUGGGGUCAGUCGUGGCUGGUCCAACAUAAUUGAGUGAAAAGAGGUACUCCUCACAUUCUGUGUGGAAGUGGUAAGUUUUUGGUUAAUUUGACCUUCUUCCCCACUCCGUUUGAAACACUAAGUUAGUUUAGAAUAAGUUUAUUUGAGAGGCUAAAUAGUUAGCUCAGUAGCUUGCUAUGCUAGCUGCAGCUGUAUCUUAUGUCCCUGCAGUGAUCUUGCAGCCUGCACAAUGUGUUGUAAACAAUGAAUAAGAGGAGUGUAACUAGGGGUGUUAUUUCAUGUGUAAUGAUGUUAAAGUAAAGUUUAGAAGGUCAUUAAUGUCUUAUUUUAUGUUGGCUAUAUUGUGUAAUAGGAGUGUCAAGGGGUGUUAUUUCAUGUCUCCAGGGCUCUAAUAGUGUUAAAAAGUGUAUGUAGAAGGUGGUAAACAGGUUUUCUAUGCUGUAGCUGUGAAAAUACUGUGUUUAUGAACACUGAAUGGAACCAGUGAACCACCUUAAAUGAGGGAUGACUGGAGAAUGUUGUAGUUUUUGUCACAAGGACCUUGAGUGUUUUGACUUUUUUUUUUACAAAUUGUUGUGCUUUUACAGCAACGUUUGGGUCAGCUGAUGUUUUUUUAUUGUCAAAUGAGUGCAUAGAUUAAC
This is an RNA transcript of Dunckerocampus dactyliophorus (ringed pipefish), 13151 nucleotides long. It is a transcript of the gene named clathrin heavy chain 1-like, with no coding region annotated. Lineage: Eukaryota; Metazoa; Chordata; Actinopteri; Syngnathiformes; Syngnathidae. The transcript has 33 exons. The record is from RefSeq and is a predicted model, not a curated record.